RNAcentral lists this ribosomal RNA (747 nucleotides) under uncultured SAR324 cluster bacterium. RNAcentral's name for it is "SSU rRNA". It matches the Rfam family "Bacterial small subunit ribosomal RNA", at positions 75 to 840 of the family's 1533-position model. The record is from RNAcentral. Lineage: Bacteria; Deltaproteobacteria.
CUUCUUCGGAAGUGAUUAAAGUGGCGCACGGGUGAGUAACGCGUAGACAAUCUGCCCUUCAGUCCGGGACAACUUUCCGAAAGGAGAGCUAAUACCGGAUAAUAGUGUUUAACAUAAGUUGAAUAUUUGAAAGCUCCGGCGCUGAUGGAUGAGUCUGCGUCCCAUUAGCUUGUUGGUGUGGUAGUGGCGCACCAAGGCUACGAUGGGUAGCGGGUUUGAGAGGACGAUCCGCCACACUGGAACUGAGACACGGUCCAGACUCCUACGGGAGGCAGCAGUGGGGAAUAUUGCACAAUGGAGGAAACUCUGAUGCAGCAAUGCCGCGUGAGUGAAGAAGGCCCUUGGGUCGUAAAGCUCUUUUAUGGGGGAAGAUUAUGACGGUACCCCAGGAAUAAGCACCGGCUAACUACGUGCCAGCAGCCGCGGUAAUACGUAGGGUGCGAGCGUUGUUCGGAAUUACUGGGCGUAAAGGGCGCGCAGGCGGAGGUGCAAGUCGGAGGUGAAAGCCCGGGGCUCAACCCCGGAGGGUCUUUCGAAACUGCAUCUCUAGAGAGGGUCAGGGGCCGGCAGAAUUCCUGGUGUAGAGGUGAAAUUCGUAGAUAUCAGGAGGAAUACCGGUGGCGAAAGCGGCCGGCUGGGGCCACUCUGACGCUGAGGCGCGAAAGCGUGGGGAGCAAACAGGAUUAGAUACCCUGGUAGUCCACGCCGUAAACGAUGAGCACUGGACGUUCGGAGGGUUCGACCCUU